This 457-nucleotide ribosomal RNA is filed under the name uncultured bacterium. RNAcentral describes it as "bacterial SSU rRNA". It matches the Rfam family "Bacterial small subunit ribosomal RNA", at positions 340 to 786 of the family's 1533-position model. The record is from RNAcentral.
UACGGGAGGCAGCAGUGGGGAAUAUUGCACAAUGGGCGAAAGCCUGAUGCAGCUAUGCCGCGUGUAUGAAGAAGGCCUUAGGGUUGUAAAGUACUUUCAUCGGGGAGGAAAAAACAAAACUAAUAAUUUUAUUUCUUGACGUUACCCGAAAAAGAAGCACCGGCUAACUCCGUGCCAGCAGCCGCGGUAAUACGGAGGGUGCUAGCGUUAAUCAGAAUUACUGGGCGUAAAGAGCACGUAGGUGGUUUUUUUAAGUCAGAUGUGAAAUCCCUGGGCUUAACCUAGGAACUGCAUUUUGAAACUGAAAUACUAGAGUAUCGUAGAGGGAGGUAGAAUUCUAGGUGUAGCAGUGAAAUGCGUAGAUAUCUGGAGGAAUACCUGUGGCGAAAGCGGGCCUCCUAAACGAAUACUGACACUGAGGUGCGAAAGCGUGGGGAGCAAACAGGGAUUAGAUACC